UAGAAUUAUUCUUUUCCGUAAGAGGCUUAUGAAAUGUAGUGCCAUACCCAAUGCCUUCCAAAUUAACCCUAAUUUUCUUUCUCGAAAAGAGGUGAGUACAACACAUUUUCUUCCUCCCUCUGCGAUUUGUGGUGGCUUUCUUCAUACGAGUGAAGUUGUUCAUUUUUUGUUCGUUCUUUUGUUCGUUCUUGAGAGCUUGCAAUGCACUCGGAGAUAAUAGAGAAGAUAAAGAAUUACCUACUUUCUGGGGCAUUUUCAGUAGAAAUUCAGGAGUGCUAUAGUAAAACCUUAAGGUUUUCAACUGUUCUUCAUUUUAAUGAACUCAUCAGCUGACAAAAAAUUAAACACAGAAAUGGAGUCGGCCCUGAAGGUUACAUUCCACUCUUAAAUUUCUACAUUUUUAGUCUCUCUUUUUUUCCUUUAAGGUUCUUGACUAUUUUAUUAUUUUUAGUACGUAAAUGUUUUGGAUUUUCUCUUACCUAUGGCGAUGAUCCCUCUGAAGAUGAUGAAGACGAUGAAGAAGAAGCGCGUCAGAUGUUGAAAUAUGGAACACAAAUAAUGCAUAAUCAGCUGCAUCGACCUGAUGAUCAGGAGCAUGAUAAUGGAGGGUAGAAACGUCAAAUUGAGGACCAUUUUUUGUUGCAUAGCAUUUUCUCCAUCUGUUAUUUUGUUGUAUAGCACGUGCUUUCAGCUAACUUGUAUAGUCUUCUGGAUCCUUCUUAUUCAUUGUAU
This 732-nucleotide long non-coding RNA is filed under the name Olea europaea subsp. europaea. Lineage: Eukaryota; Viridiplantae; Streptophyta; Magnoliopsida; Lamiales; Oleaceae. The record is from RNAcentral.